GCGGCGUGCCUAACACAUGCAAGUCGAGCGGGGUUUUAACAAUGAAGUUUUCGGAUGGAUUUGUUAAUUUCUAGCGGCGGACGGGUGAGUAACGCGUGAGCAACCUGUCUAUCACAGGGGAAUAACGCAUCGAAAGGUGUGCUAAUACCGCAUGACACCACAGGACCGCAUGGUCAAGGGGUCAAAGAUUUAUCGCGUGAUAGAUGGGCUCGCGUCUGAUUAGCUAGUUGGUGAGGUAACGGCCCACCAAGGCGACGAUCAAUAGCCGACCUGAGAGGGUGAUCGGUCACAUUGGAACUGAGAAACGGUCCAAACUCCUACGGGAGGCAGCAGUGGGGAAUAUUGGGCAAUGGGCGCAAGCCUGACCCAGCAACGCCGCGUGAAGGAAGAAGGGCUUCGGGUCUUAAACUUCUAUCCUUUGGGGAAGGAUAAUGACGGUAGGCAAGAAAGGAAACCCCCGGUUAACUACGUGCCAGCAGCCGCGGUAAUACGGAGGAUGCGAGCGUUAUCCGGGAUUUAUUGGGUUUAAAGGGAGCGUAGACGGGAUGUUAAGUCAGUUGUGAAAAGGCUGCGGCUCAACCGCAGCACUGCAGUUGAUACUGGCGUCCUUGAGUGCGGUUGAGGUGUGUGGAAUUCGUGGUGUAGCGGUGAAAUGCUUAGAUAUCACGAAGAACUCCGAUUGCGAAGGCAGCACACUAAGCCGCUACUGACGUUGAGGCUCGAAAGUGUGGGUAUCAAACAGGAUUAGAUACCCUGGUAGUCCACACGGUAAACGAUGAAUACUCGCUGUUGGCGAUAUAUUGUCAGCGGCCAAGCGAAAGCAUUAAGUAUUCCACCUGGGGAGUACGCCGGCAACGGUGAAACUCAAAGGAAUUGACGGGGGCCCGCACAAGCGGAGGAACAUGUGGUUUAAUUCGAUGAUACGCGAGGAACCUUACCCGGGCUUAAAUUGCAGGGGACAGACCGAGAGAUCGGUCCUUCUUCGGACUCCUGUGAAGGUGCUGCAUGGUUGUCGUCAGCUCGUGCCGUGAGGUGUCGGCUUAAGUGCCAUAACGAGCGCAACCCUUGCCAAUAGUUACUAUCAGGUGAUGCUGAGGACUCUAUUGGGACUGCCAUCGUAAGAUGUGAGGAAGGUGGGGAUGACGUCAAAUCAUCAUGCCCCUUAUGACCUGGGCUACACACGUACUACAAUGGCUAUUAACAGAGGGAAGCAAUAUCGCGAGAUGGAGCAAAUCCCCAAAAAUAGUCUCAGUUCGGAUUGUAGGCUGCAACUCGCCUACAUGAAGUCGGAAUUGCUAGUAAUCGCAGAUCAGCAUGCUGCGGUGAAAACGUUCCCGGGCCUU
This 1343-nucleotide ribosomal RNA is filed under the name uncultured bacterium. RNAcentral describes it as "partial 16S ribosomal RNA". It matches the Rfam family "Bacterial small subunit ribosomal RNA", at positions 39 to 1382 of the family's 1533-position model. The record is from RNAcentral.